Molecule: transfer RNA, 58 nt
Filed under: Fulmarus glacialis (Northern fulmar)
Lineage: Eukaryota; Metazoa; Chordata; Aves; Procellariiformes; Procellariidae
Rfam family: tRNA
About the family: Transfer RNA (tRNA) molecules are approximately 80 nucleotides in length. Their secondary structure includes four short double-helical elements and three loops (D, anti-codon, and T loops).
Source: Rfam by way of RNAcentral
UAGCUCAGUCAGUAGAGCAUGAGACUCUCAAUCUCAGCGCUGUGGCUUCAAGCCCCAC